CCAGCAGUUCGACGGGAAUGCGGCAUUUCUCCAUUCGAUGCACUGUUUUUUUUAGAGAGUAGUUCAGUGAGACUUGCUCCGCUUUGCGGUAUCAAGCAUUUGAGCAGGGGCCGUUUUGAUAAAACGAUGGCAUUGACUUUCUGUGCUUGUUUCGUCAUUCCGCUGGCCUCUCUCCUCUUCUCCACAACAUUGUUCGCCCACCCUCUCUGAUAUCGAGAGUACUCUUGCUGAUAUGCAUUUCUUGGACACGAAGCACUCGGCAGUAUCAUCAUGUUUCAGAGUACAACAUCGAAGGACCCAUGCUGCAGUUCCGCGUCUACUCCGUGGGCACCAGUGCAGCAGCAGCAUGUCUGCUUGACGCACCCGAGGUCGACUACAUAGUCAUUGGACUGAACCUGAACUGCAGAAGGUCACAGGCUCUGCUCUGGACUGUAGACUUGCUACUUCUUUGUGACACACACAUACACAUAGCCAACGUCUCUGUUCAGGCACUGUUUAAUCCAUCCAAUAUGAAGAUAGACACUUCGCUUCAAAGGUCCAAUAGCGGGAUCGUGAAUAACGCUGGUCCGAUAACCCAGCCAC
Molecule: long non-coding RNA, 582 nt
Organism: Sycon ciliatum
Lineage: Eukaryota; Metazoa; Porifera; Calcarea; Leucosolenida; Sycettidae
Exons: 3
Source: RefSeq, a predicted model, not a curated record